RNAcentral lists this ribosomal RNA (403 nucleotides) under uncultured bacterium. RNAcentral describes it as "bacterial SSU rRNA". It matches the Rfam family "Bacterial small subunit ribosomal RNA", at positions 355 to 775 of the family's 1533-position model. The record is from RNAcentral.
UGGGGAAUCUUGCACAAUGGGGGAAACCCUGAUGCAGCGACGCCGCGUGAGCGAUGAAGCCCUUCGGGGUGUAAAGCUCUUUCGGCAGGAACGAUAAUGACGGUACCUGAAGAAGAAGCUGCGGCUAACUACGUGCCAGCAGCCGCGGUAAUACGUAGGCAGCGAGCGUUGUUCGGAGUUACUGGGCGUAAAGGGUGCGUAGGCGGUUUUCCAAGUUUGGUGUGAAAUCUCCCGGCUUAACUGGGAGGGUGCGCCGAAAACUAGGAGACUUGAGUACCGGAGAGGUAAGCGGAAUUCCUGGUGUAGCGGUGAAAUGCGUAGAGAUCAGGAGGAACACCUGUGGUGUAGACAGCUUACUGGACGGUCACUGACGCUGAGGCACGAAAGCGUGGGUAGCAAACAG